ACCUUUAGGCAGUGGCAAUAUCGUAGCCAGUGAGGUGUGUGUCCAAGGAGCGAUUAUUGCUAAUUGAAAACUUUUCCCAAUACCCCGCUGUGAGGACUUGAAAUAUAGUCAGCAUUGGCAAUUUUUGACAGUCUCUACGGAGA
This 143-nucleotide small nuclear RNA is filed under the name Echinops telfairi (small Madagascar hedgehog). RNAcentral describes it as "U4 spliceosomal RNA (ENSETEG00000020916.1)". It matches the Rfam family "U4 spliceosomal RNA". Rfam says of the family: U4 small nuclear RNA (U4 snRNA) is a component of the major U2-dependent spliceosome. The structure of U4 snRNA from yeast and human has been reported. U4 snRNA presents a k-turn RNA motif in the 5p-SL related to recognition of Snu13 protein. The record is from RNAcentral. Lineage: Eukaryota; Metazoa; Chordata; Mammalia; Afrosoricida; Tenrecidae.